This 482-nucleotide ribosomal RNA is filed under the name uncultured bacterium. Its description in RNAcentral is "partial 16S ribosomal RNA". It matches the Rfam family "Bacterial small subunit ribosomal RNA", at positions 28 to 507 of the family's 1533-position model. The record is from RNAcentral.
GACGAACGCUGGCGGCGUGCUUAACACAUGCAAGUCGAACGAUGAAGAAGAGAAACGCGAACUUCGGUUCAACUUUCACUUCGGAUUAGUGGCAGACGGGUGAGUAACGCGUGAGCAACCUACCUCUUACAAAGGGAUAGCCUCGGGAAACCGUGAUUAAUACCAUAUGACACAUUCAUAAGGCAUCUUAAGAAUGUUAAAGCUACGGCGGUAAGAGAUGGGCUCGCGUCCCAUUAGCUAGUUGGUGAGGUAACGGCCCGCCAAGGCGACGAUGGGUAACCGGCCUGAGAGGGUGAACGGUCACAUUGGAACUGAGACACGGUCCAAACUCCUACGGGAGGCAGCAGUGGGGAAUAUUGCACAAUGGAGGGAACUCUGAUGCAGCGACGCCGCGUGAGCGAUGAAGGAAUUCGUUUCGUAAAGCUCUGUUCUAUGGGAAGAAAAGGACUGUACCAUAGGAGAAAGCCCCGGCUAAAUACGUG